CGGUGGAGCAUGUGGUUUAAUUCGAAGCAACGCGAAGAACCUUACCAGGGCUUGACAUGCAGGUAGUAGCGAGCCGAAAGGUGAGCGACCCUACCGGUAAGGUAGGGAGCCUGCACAGGUGGUGCAUGGUUGUCGUCAGCUCGUGUCGUGAGAUGUUGGGUUAAGUCCCGCAACGAGCGCAACCCCUGCCUCUAGUUGCCAUCGGGUAAAGCCGGGCACUCUAGAGGGACUGCCGUCGACAAGACGGAGGAAGGUGGGGAUGACGUCAAAUCAUCAUGCCCUAUAUGCCCUGGGCCACACGCGUGCUACAAUGGCCGGUACAGAGGGAAGCGAAGGAGCGAUCCGGAGCGAAUCCCAAAAAGCCGGUCUCAGUUCGGAUUGCAGGCUGCAACUCGCCUGCAUGAAGGCGGAAUCGCUAGUAAUCGCGGAUCAGCAUGCCGCGGUGAAUGCGUUCCCGGGCCUU
This 463-nucleotide ribosomal RNA is filed under the name uncultured Caldanaerobacter sp. Its description in RNAcentral is "bacterial SSU rRNA". It matches the Rfam family "Bacterial small subunit ribosomal RNA", at positions 930 to 1382 of the family's 1533-position model. Lineage: Bacteria; Bacillati; Bacillota; Clostridia; Thermoanaerobacterales; Thermoanaerobacteraceae. The record is from RNAcentral.